CUUGAAGGACAUGAUCCGCUGUGGAUUUUUACAUCCACCAUUUUCUAUACAAAUGAAGAUGCUCUUGGCUCGACAUAGUUUGUUCUGUUCCAUUAGGAAUCUAAUUUUUCUUAGGUUGAUAGUACAUGAUGGAGCUCGAGCGGAAAGGAUUGAUUCAUUUAUCAAGGGGAAGAAUCUAGGGUUAGUGCCAAUCAAUCAAUAAGUUAGACCAGCUUUGUAAGUAUAUCCUUAAAAUAUAAAAUAAUCGGAAUUGAUAAAACUAUUUCGAUCAAAAAAAAGUGUAUCACAGAGGAAUCAAUUCUUCGUAUUCUAUUUCUAUGGGUAUUCUAUUUCUAUAGAAAGAAAUAAAAAAAACAAAAGGUAUGUUGCUGCCCUUUUGAAAGGAGUAAGGAUCACCGAAGUAAUGUCUAAACCCAAUGAUUUUACAAAGCAAAGAUAAAGGAUUCCGAAACAAGGAAACACUAUUUUCAAUUGUCUCAAAAAUUGGAUCAGAAUUAGGAAUAAAAAUAGAUUCGAGAUGAGACAAACAAAAGAGGUUAGAGACGGCUCAAGAAAUGUCUAAGGAUUUCCCUUCGAAUUCUGUCAGAAUUACCCAACUUGAGUUAUGAGUACGAAUGAAAUUUAUUUUUUUUUUUUUUUUUAGGAAGAACAAAAUAAUAAUAAUGAAUUAGACUAUGAUUUGAGUCAUUAUUUUGUGUUUACUAUUUGAUAUUAUAUACAGAAAGAUAUACCGAAAUAAAAAUAAUUUUUUCUCGAGCUCGAGCCGUAUGAGGAGAAAAACCUCCUAUACGUUUCUGGGGGGGGAUUGUUUAUGUACAUCUAUCCCAAUGAGCCAUCUAUCGAAUCGUUGCAAUUGAUGUUCGAUCCCGAAGAGAAGGAAGAGAUUUUCGAAAAGUGGGUUUUUAUGAUCCGAUAAAGAAUCAAACUUAUUUAAACGUUCCCGCUAUUCUAUAUUUCCUUGAAAAGGGCGCUCAACCUACAGGAACUGUUUAUGAUAUUUUAAGUAAGGCAGAAUUUUUUAAAGAAAAAACCUCGAGUUAAUUAAAAGAAAAAACAACAAAAUUAAUAAAAAAGGGGGGAGAUGAUUAAUAUAAAAUCUAUCUUUGUAUAAUUUUUUACUUACAAUUUUUUACCUAAAAUUUUCCCUUUUCUUGCUCUAUUCAUACUUAAAUUUACUUUUUUCUUGUUAUAGGAAUCCACCAACAAACAAGGGAUUAAUCUUGCUUAUUGUACCUCUAUUGAUUGAGUAAACCCGAGAUUUUUUCUUUAUCUUUUCCUUAUUUUUUUCCAUCAAAAUUUCUUAUUUAUGUUGUGCCAACCCAAUACAAAUCCUUAUUUUAUUUACUUUAUUUGUUAUUUGUUUUCUCAACAUUGCAUUCAUAUUGACAAUGGUGUAUCGAACAAAUAUAAUUGAUCAUAGAUAAAUUAAUUGAUCAUAGAUAAAUAAAUCUCUUUAUCCAGACCCCAUAUUGGGUUUUAACUUCACUUUUACUCAAAUAAUGGGUUUUGCAUUGUUGGGUUUACUGUCAUAUAAGACGUAUUUUGGAAUUUAACUUAACAAAAAUAAAAAAUUGAUAAAAAACUGGUAGGUCUGUCACAAUUUUAGCAUCUCUUUUAGGAAUCUGGUGUUUUUAAAUAUGAUCUGUACAUUUUCUAUUUAUUUUGUAUAAUCGAUCAUAAAACAUAAAAUAUUUUUUUAUUUAUUAUUAGUUCAAUGUUUUGAUGGGGUCGUGCAGUGCAAUUUAAUGGAUUUUUCAUUUUUAUCGUAUCUACAUAUCCUAUUUAUUUUAUUUUAUUCGGGUUGCUAACUCAACGGUAGAGUACUCGGCUUUUAAGUGCGACUAUGAUCUUUUACACAUUUUGAUGAAGCAACAAAUUCGUCCAGACUAUUGGUAGAGUCUAUAAGACCACGACUGAUCCUCAAGGGUAAUGAAUGGAAAAAGUAGCAUGUCGUAAUAAAAAAAAUUUCUUAUUUUAUUAAAUAUUUUAUUAAAAAAUUACAAAUUCAAAUGAAAGUGGAACUUUUAGUUUAUCCUUACUGGAUCGCUACAAAAAUAAAAAAUUUUUGGAAGGGAAGGGGACAAAACAAAUUCACAUUUACAGUUGGGUCUAGUGAAUAAAUGGAUAGAGCCUAUGGUUCCAAUUUUGGUAAAACAAAAAGCAACGAGCUUAUGUUCUUAAUUUGAAUUGAACGAUUACCCGAUCUAAUUAGACGUUAAAAAUAGAUUAGUGCCUUAUACGGGAAAGGGUGAGUUCUCCUGUGGGUGGACCAUUGAUUCUUUUUCCUUUUUUUUUAAUAAAUCCUAACUAUUCUUUAUUAUGGAUUAGAAACGGAUGUGUAGAAGAAACAGUAUACUGAUAAAGAGAAUAAAUUCCAAAGUCAAAAGAGCGAUCGGGUUGCAAAAAUAAAGGGUUUGUUAUCCUCUUGUAAUUAUAACGAAGAUAAACAACGAAGAUAAACCAAUUCGAUAGAAAAAGAGAAUAAAAAGAUCUAUUGAUUGGACUCCCUGUUUCCUUUUCGGGGUAUAUAUUUUUAUUACUAUUGUAUUCUAUAUACAUAAUAGAAUACAAAAUACCCUGUUUUGACCAUAUUGCACUAUGUAUCAUUUGAUAACCCAAUAAAUGCCUCCUACCCCUGCUUCAAGUGGAAAUGUAAAUGGAAGAAUUACAAGGAUAUUUAGAAAAAGAUAGAUCUCGGCAACAAUACUUUCUAUAUCCACUUCUUUUUCAGGAGUAUAUUUACGUAUUUGCUUAUGAUCAGGGUUUAAAUAGUUCAAUUUUUUAUGAACCCGUGAAUUUUGGGGGUUAUGGCAAUAAAUUUAGUUCAGUACUUGUGAAACGUUUAAUUAUUCGAAUGUAUCAACAAAAUUAUUUGAUUUAUUCGGUUAAUGAUUCUUACCAAAAUCGAUUCGUUGGGCACAACAAUUAUUUUUAUUCCCAUUUUUUUUCUCAGAUGAUAUCAGAAGGUUUUGCAGUCAUUGUGGAAAUUCCAUUCUCGCUGCAAUUAGUAUCUUCCCUUGAAGAAAAAAAAAUACCAAAAUCUCAUAAUUUACAAUCUAUUCAUUCAAUAUUUCCUUUUUUAGAGGAUAAAUUAUCGCAUUUAAAUUAUCUGUCAGAUAUACUAAUACCUCAUCCCAUCCAUAUGGAAAUCCUGGUCCAAAUCCUUCAAUCCUGUAUCCAGGAUGUUCCCUCUUUGCAUUUAUUGCGGUUCUUUCUCUACGAAUAUUAUAAUUGGAAUAGUCUCAUUACUCCGAAGAAAUCUAUUUAUGUUUUUUCAAAAGAAAAUAAAAGACUAUUUUGGUUCUUAUAUAAUUCUUAUGUAUCUGAAUGUGAAUUUGUAUUAGUUUUUCUUCGUAAACAAUCUUCUUAUUUACGAUUAACAUCUUUUGGAGCCUUUCUUG
RNA transcript from Musa acuminata AAA Group (dessert banana), 3401 nucleotides. It is a transcript of the gene named maturase K-like, with no coding region annotated. The record is from RefSeq and is a predicted model, not a curated record. The transcript has a single exon. NCBI's taxonomy places the organism in Eukaryota, Viridiplantae, Streptophyta, Magnoliopsida, Zingiberales, Musaceae.